CCUACGGGAGGCAGCAGUAGGGAAUUUUCGUCAAUGGGCGCAAGCCUGACCCAGCAACGCCGCGUGAAGGAAGAAGGCUUUCGGGUUGUAAACUUCUUUUGUCAGGGAAGAGUAGAAGACGGUACCUGACGAAUAAGCCACGGCUAACUACGUGCCAGCAGCCGCGGUAAUACGUAGGUGGCAAGCGUUGUCCGGAUUUACUGGGUGUAAAGGGCGUGUAGCCGGGUUGACAAGUCAGAUGUGAAAUCCUGCGGCUUAACCGCAGAACUGCAUUUGAAACUGUUGAUCUUGAGUACUGGAGAGGCAGACGGAAUUCCUAGUGUAGCGGUGAAAUGCGUAGAUAUUAGGAGGAACACCAGUGGCGAAGGCGGUCUGCUGGACAGCAACUGACGGUGAGGCGCGAAAGCGUGGGGAGCAAACAGGAUUAGAUACCCGGGUAGUC
Molecule: ribosomal RNA, 442 nt
Filed under: uncultured bacterium
Lineage: Bacteria
Description: partial 16S ribosomal RNA
Rfam family: Bacterial small subunit ribosomal RNA
Source: RNAcentral